AGAUUGAACGCUGGCGGCAUGCUUUACACAUGCAAGUCGAGCGGCAGCGCGGGGCAACCUGGCGGCGAGCGGCGAACGGGUGAGUAAAAGAUAGGAACGUAUCCGGGAGUGGGGGAUAACUAGCCGAAAGGUUAGCUAAUACCGCAUAUUCUCCGAGGAGGAAAGCGGGGGACUCGAAAGGGCCUCGCGCUCGCGGAGUGGCCUAUCUCCGAUUAGCUAGUUGGUGAGGUAAAGGCUCACCAAGGCGACGAUCGGUAGCUGGUCUGAGAGGAUGAUCAGCCACACUGGGACUGAGACACGGCCCAGACUCCUACGGGAGGCAGCAGUGGGGAAUUUGGACAAUGGGGGCAACCCUGAUCCAGCCAUGCCGCGUGCGGAAGAAGGCCUUCGGGUGUAACCGUCUUUAUUCGAAGAAGGAGUGGAGUUAAUACUUCAUGACAGACGUACCGGAGUACGAAUAAGACACCGGACUAACGUACGUGUCUAGCAGCCGCGGUAAUC
RNAcentral lists this ribosomal RNA (501 nucleotides) under uncultured soil bacterium. RNAcentral describes it as "bacterial SSU rRNA". It matches the Rfam family "Bacterial small subunit ribosomal RNA", at positions 26 to 525 of the family's 1533-position model. The record is from RNAcentral.